UACGGAGGGGGCUAGCGUUGUUCGGAAUUACUGGGCGUAAAGCGCGCGUAGGCGGACCUGCAAGUCGGGGGUGAAAGCCCGAGGCUCAACCUCGGAACUGCCUUCGAUACUGCGGGUCUCGAGUCCGGGAGAGGAGAGUGGAAUUCCUGGUGUAGCGGUGAAAUGCGCAGAUAUCAGGAAGAACACCUAUGGCGAAGGCAGCUCUCUGGGACGGUACUGACGCUGAGACGCGAAAGCGUGGGGAGCGAACAGG
Molecule: ribosomal RNA, 253 nt
Filed under: uncultured bacterium
Lineage: Bacteria
Description: partial 16S ribosomal RNA
Rfam family: Bacterial small subunit ribosomal RNA
Source: RNAcentral